Molecule: ribosomal RNA, 663 nt
Filed under: Planktothrix mougeotii LEGE 07231
Lineage: Bacteria; Bacillati; Cyanobacteriota; Cyanophyceae; Oscillatoriales; Microcoleaceae
Description: bacterial SSU rRNA
Rfam family: Bacterial small subunit ribosomal RNA
Source: RNAcentral
CGGACGGGUGAGUAACGCGUGAGAACCUGCCUCUUGGCCGGGGACAACAGUUGGAAACGGCUGCUAAUCCCGGAUGAGCCGAAAGGUAAAAGAUUAAUCGCCAAGAGAGGGGCUUGCGUCUGAUUAGCUAGUUGGUAGUGUAAGAGACUACCAAGGCGACGAUCAGUAGCUGGUCUGAGAGGAUGAUCAGCCACACUGGGACUGAGACACGGCCCAGACUCCUACGGGAGGCAGCAGUGGGGAAUUUUCCGCGAUGGGCGAAAGCCUGACGGAGCAAGACCGCGUGGGGGAGGAAGGUUCUUGGAUUGUCAACCCCUUUUCUCAGGGAAGAAGAAAGUGACGGUACCUGAGGAAGAAGCAUCGGCUAACUCCGUGCCAGCAGCCGCGGUAAUACGGAGGAUGCAAGCGUUAUCCGGAAUGAUUGGGCGUAAAGAGUCCGUAGGUGGCCCUUCAAGUCUGCUGUUAAAGAGCGAGGCUUAACUUCGGAAAAGCAGUGGAAACUGGAGAGCUAGAGUGUAGUAGGGGCAGAGGGAAUUCCUGGUGUAGCGGUGAAAUGCGUAGAGAUCAGGAAGAACACCGGUGGCGAAAGCGCUCUGCUGGGCUACAACUGACACUGAGGGACGAAAGCUAGGGGAGCGAAUGGGAUUAGAUACCCCAGUAGUC